CAAAUUAACAAUUAAAAUAAAAAAUUAAAAAAAAAAGUGAACAAAAUAGAAAAUUAACAAGGAUACUGCAUACCCAAUACCCAUACAGCAAAAUUAGAUAAGAAGGAGGAGAGGAAAAGGGGGGGAAAAAUGGUACGCAAAACAUAUUGCAGCACAGAAUAGGGAAGAAAUGCCCAUACAGCAGCAUUAGAGAUGGAGGAGAGGAAAAGGAAAAAAAA
RNAcentral lists this unclassified non-coding RNA (218 nucleotides) under Hevea brasiliensis (rubber tree). Lineage: Eukaryota; Viridiplantae; Streptophyta; Magnoliopsida; Malpighiales; Euphorbiaceae. The record is from RNAcentral.